Molecule: ribosomal RNA, 482 nt
Filed under: uncultured bacterium
Lineage: Bacteria
Description: partial 16S ribosomal RNA
Rfam family: Bacterial small subunit ribosomal RNA
Source: RNAcentral
AUUGAACGCUGGCGGCAUGCUUUACACAUGCAAGUCGAACGGUAACAGGCCGCAAGGUGCUGACGAGUGGCGAACGGGUGCGUAAUGCAUCGGAACGUGCCCAGUCGUGGGGGAUAACUACUCGAAAGAGUAGCUAAUACCGCAUACGAUCUAUGGAUGAAAGCGGGGGACCGUAAGGCCUCGCGCGAUUGGAGCGGCCGAUGUCAGAUUAGGUAGUUGGUGGAGUAAAGGCUCACCAAGCCAACGAUCUGUAGCUGGUCUGAGAGGACGACCAGCCACACUGGGACUGAGACACGGCCCAGACUCCUACGGGAGGCAGCAGUGGGGAAUUUUGGACAAUGGGCGCAAGCCUGAUCCAGCAAUGCCGCGUGCAGGAAGAAGGCCUUCGGGUUGUAAACUGCUUUUGUACGGAACGAAACGGCUCUGGUUAAUACCCGGGGCUAAUGACGGUACCGUAAGAAUAAGCACCGGCUAACUACGUG